This 791-nucleotide ribosomal RNA is filed under the name uncultured archaeon. Its description in RNAcentral is "bacterial SSU rRNA". It matches the Rfam family "Archaeal small subunit ribosomal RNA", at positions 83 to 887 of the family's 1478-position model. The record is from RNAcentral.
CGGCUCAGUAACACGUGGAUAACUGCCCUAAGGUGGAGGAUAACCCCGGGAAACUGGGGAUAAUACUCCAUAGGUUAAAGGUACUGGAAUGUUCUUUAACCGAAAGCUCCGGCGCUUUAGGAUGGAUCUGCGGCCGAUUAGGUUGUUGUUGGGGUAGUGGCCCAACAAGCCUGUAAUCGGUACGGGUUGUGGGAGCAAGAGCCCGGAGAUGGAAUCUGAGACACGAUUCCAGGCCUACGGGGCGCAGCAGGCGCGAAAACUUUACAAUGCAGGAAACUAUGAUAAGGGAACCCCGAGUGCCCGUAUAUGCGGGCUGUCCGGAUGUUUAAAACGCAUCCGAAGAAAGGGCCGGGCAAGACCGGUGCCAGCCGCCGCGGUAAUACCGGCGGCUCGAGUGGUGGCCACUUUUAUUGGGCUUAAAGCGUUCGUAGCUUGAAUAAUAAGUCUCUUGGGAAAUCUGCAGGCUUAACCUGCAGGCGUUUAAGAGGAACUGUUGUUCUAGGAACCGGAAGAGGUGAGAGGUACUCCGGGGGUAGGAGUGAAAUCCUGUAAUCCCCGGGGGACCACCGAUGGCGAAGGCAUCUCACCAGGACGGCUUCGACAGUGAGGAACGAAAGCUGGGGGAGCGAACCGGAUUAGAUACCCGGGUAGUCCCAGCCGUAAACGAUGUGCGUUAGGUGUGCCGGUGACCACGAGUCACUGGGGUGCCGAAGGGAAACCGUGAAACGUACCGCCUGGGAAGUACGGUCGCAAGGCUGAAACUUAAAGGAAUUGGCGGGGGAGCACAAGGG